This 253-nucleotide ribosomal RNA is filed under the name uncultured bacterium. RNAcentral describes it as "partial 16S ribosomal RNA". It matches the Rfam family "Bacterial small subunit ribosomal RNA", at positions 524 to 776 of the family's 1533-position model. The record is from RNAcentral.
GACGAACCGUCCAAACGUUGUUCGGAAUCACUGGGCUUAAAGGGCGCGUAGGCGGGUCUCCAAGUCGGUGGUGAAAUCUUUCGGCUCAACCGGAAAACAGCCGCCGAUACUGGGGGUCUCGAGGGAGGUAGGGGUCGAUGGAACUUCCGGUGGAGCGGUGAAAUGCGUAGAUAUCGGAAGGAACGCCGGUGGCGAAAGCGAUCGACUGGACCUUUUCUGACGCUGAGGCGCGAAAGCCAGGGGAGCAAACGGG